RNAcentral lists this long non-coding RNA (345 nucleotides) under Chrysemys picta bellii (western painted turtle). RNAcentral's name for it is "lncRNA (ENSCPBG00000016214.1)". Lineage: Eukaryota; Metazoa; Chordata; Testudines; Emydidae. The record is from RNAcentral.
CCCGCUCCCGCUCAGCUCCGGUCCCCGAGAUUCCCCAGGAGUGUGAUGGGCUCUGUUUCUGUCUCUCAGGGGAGGAGCUGGCCAAGGAGCUGGAGAGGCUGCAGUCGGACCAGGCCACGCUGAGAGCGGAAGUGUCCAGGGAUCUGGCCAAAGCGAAACAUGACAGAGAUGACAUCAGGGCCGAGACCUACAAAAUCCUGGAUGCCGCACAGAAAGGGAACGGCACUUCCCGGUGCCAGCCUGGCUGGGAGCAGUACCGAGGGAGGUGCUACCUUUUCUCCUCGUCUGCCCAGGGCUGGCCAGGGGCCAGAAGGUCCUGUUUGAGCCAGACUGCUGACCUGGUGG